GGAAAUCCACUCCGGUGCGGGUAGAGUCCAAGCCCGAUUCGGAUUCGGACAGAAAAAAGCCGCACCGAAGAAGGCUGCGAAGAAGCAAAUUCCGGACAGACCGUUGUGGUACCCAGGAGCUAAGUCACCGGAGUAUCUAGACGGAAGCCUUGUUGGUGACUACGGAUUCGAUCCGUUCGGUUUGGGGAAACCGGCGGAGUAUUUGCAAUAUGAUUUGGAUUCGUUGGACCAGAAUUUGGCGAAGAAUUUGGCUGGUGACAUUAUUGGAACGAGAACUGAAGUUGCUGAUGUGAAAUCAACUCCGUUUCAGCCUUACAGUGAGGUUUUUGGGCUACAGAGG
Molecule: long non-coding RNA, 340 nt
Filed under: Solanum tuberosum (potato)
Lineage: Eukaryota; Viridiplantae; Streptophyta; Magnoliopsida; Solanales; Solanaceae
Description: long non-coding RNA (STUB_LNC008635)
Source: RNAcentral